This 1966-nucleotide ribosomal RNA is filed under the name wastewater metagenome. RNAcentral describes it as "bacterial LSU rRNA". It matches the Rfam family "Bacterial large subunit ribosomal RNA", at positions 3 to 1988 of the family's 2925-position model. The record is from RNAcentral.
UCAAGCUAAAAAGGGCGCAAGGUGAAUGCCUUGGCACUGGGAGCCGAUGAAAGACGUGGUAAGCUGCGAAAAGCUUCGGGGAGGAGCAAACAUCCAUUGAUCCGGAGAUAUCUGAAUGGGGCAACCCAAUGGAGUUCAUACUCCAUUAUCCAAUACUGAAUCCAUAGGUAUUGGAAGGGAACCGCCUGAACUGAAACAUCUAAGUAGGGCGAGGAAGAGACAUCAAACGAGAUUCCGUAAGUAGUGGCGAGCGAACGCGGAAGAGGGCAAACCGAGAGGAGAAAUCCUUUCGGGGUACGGACUGCUUUUAAGACUGGAAGAGUUAACAGAAUGGCAUGGGAAGGCCAACCGAAGAGUGUGAGAGUCACGUAAGUAAAAAUUCUGACAGCUGCGCAGGAUCCACAGUACGGCCAGACACGUGAAACCUGGUCGGAACAUGGGGGGACCACCCUCCAACCCUAAAUACUACCCAGUGACCGAUAGCGUAUAGUACUGUGAAGGAAAGGUGAAAAGGACCCCGGGAGGGGAGUGAAAGAGAACCUGAAACCUUGUGCCUACAAGCACAUAGAGCCCGUCAAAGGGUGAUAUGGUACUUUUUGUAGAACGGUCCGGCGAGCGAUUGUAUGCAGCAAGGUUAAGGACUUAAGGUCUGGAGCCGAAGCGAAAGCGAGUUUGAAAAGGGCGUUAAGUUGCAUAUAAUGGGCCCGAAACCGGGUGACCUACCCAUGGUCAGGGAGAAGUGGAAGUAAAAUUCCAUGGAGGACCGAACCGACCUCCGUUGAAAAGGCGGCGGAUGAACUGUGGGUAGCGGAGAAAUUCCAAUCGAACCCGGAGAUAGCUGGUUCUCCCCGAAAUAGUUUUAGGACUAGCCUCAAGUUAGAUNNAUAGCUUUAGGGCUAGCCUCAUGUUAGAUAUCCGGAGGUAAAGCACUGAAUGGCCUAGCGUCCGAGAGGAUAGCGAAGCCUAUCAAACUAAGAAUGCCGGAAUAUUGAUGCAUGGGAGUCAGACAGUGUGAGAUAAAUCUCAUUGUCAAAAGGGAAACAGCCCAGAUCUACAGCUAAGGUCCCAAAUUGUAUCUAAGUGGAAAACGAUGUGGAAAUACGCAGACAACCAGGAUGUUGGCUCAGAAGCAGCCACUCAUUUAAAGAGUGCGUAAUAGCUCACUGGUCGAGCGUCUCUGCGCGGAAAAUUUAACGGGGCUAAGAUACAAACCGAAGCUUAGGCUGCACUUUUAGUGCGGGGUAGGGGAGCGUUGUGUAAGCGGAGAAACAGUAGCGAAAGCCGCUGUGGAGUUUACAGAAGUGGNNNNNNNNNNNNNNNNNNNNNNNNNNNNNNNAAAUGAUGUGAGAAUCAUCAUGGCCGGAAACCUCAGGUUUUUGGAGGAAGGUUCGUCCGCUCCAAGUUAGGCGGGAGCUAAGGUGAGGCCGAAAGGCGUAGCCGAUGCACAGACGGUAGGGAUUCCGUCCCCACCGAAAGAUUUAAGCGCAGGGACACUUUUAGAAGGUCGGAGCCAGGUGUUGGUUCUGGUAGAGAUCGAGGGAAGAUUAGUACCGAAGUCCGGCUGGAUAAGANNGAGGAAAUUUAGUACCGAAGUCCGGCUGGAUAAGAGGCGAGAAAAGCUGCGUGUAUAUCUAAGGUGCCCGUACCGCAAACCGACACAGGUAGGUAGGAAGAAGAUUCUAAGGCCAACGGGAGAAGGGUUGUUAAGGAACUCGGCAAGUUGACCCCGUAACUUCGGAAUAAGGGGUGCUCAUGAAAGUGAGCCGCAGAGAAUAGGCCCAGGCAACUGUUUACCAAAAACACAGGUUUGUGCUAAAUCGAAAGAUGACGUAUACGAGCUGACGCCUGCCCGGUGCUGGAAGGUUAAAAGGAGAUGUGCAAGCAUUGAAUUGAAGCCCCAGUGAACGGCGGCCGUAACUAUAACGGUCCUAAGGUAGCGAAAUUCCUUGUCAGGUAAGUUCUGACC